GGUGAUAUAGCUCAAUGGUAGAGCACUUGCCUAGCAUGCACAAGGCUCCAGUUCCAUCUCUGGUACCACAA
Molecule: transfer RNA, 71 nt
Filed under: Cricetulus griseus (Chinese hamster)
Lineage: Eukaryota; Metazoa; Chordata; Mammalia; Rodentia; Cricetidae
Rfam family: tRNA
About the family: Transfer RNA (tRNA) molecules are approximately 80 nucleotides in length. Their secondary structure includes four short double-helical elements and three loops (D, anti-codon, and T loops).
Source: Rfam by way of RNAcentral